This 119-nucleotide ribosomal RNA is filed under the name Pogona vitticeps (central bearded dragon). The record is from RNAcentral. Lineage: Eukaryota; Metazoa; Chordata; Lepidosauria; Squamata; Agamidae.
CUAUAUAUCCACAUCAACUUGAACAUAUUUGAUUUCAUUUUAUUUUGAAAGCUAAGCAGGAUUGGCCAUGGCUAGUAUUUGGAUAGGUGAACACCAAGGAAUACCAGGGACUGCCAGGU